Molecule: ribosomal RNA, 450 nt
Filed under: uncultured bacterium
Lineage: Bacteria
Description: bacterial SSU rRNA
Rfam family: Bacterial small subunit ribosomal RNA
Source: RNAcentral
GUCCAGACUCCUACGGGAGGCAGCAGUGGGGAAUAUUGCACAAUGGGGGAAACCCUGAUGCAGCGACGCCGCGUGAAGGAAGAAGUAUCUCGGUAUGUAAACUUCUAUCAGCAGGGAAGAAAACAGACGGUACCUGACUAAGAAGCCCCGGCUAACUACGUGCCAGCAGCCGCGGUAAUACGUAGGGGGCGAGCGUUAUCCGGAUUCACUGGGUGUAAAGGGAGCGUAGACGGCCAUGCAAGCCAGGGGUGAAAGCCCGGGGCCCAACCCCGGGACUGCCCUUGGAACUGUGCGGCUAGAGUGCGGGAGGGGCAGGCGGAAUUCCUGGUGUAGCGGUGAAAUGCGUAGAUAUCAGGAGGAACACCGGCGGCGAAGGCGGCCUGCUGGACCGCGACUGACGUUGAGGCUCGAAAGCGUGGGGAGCGAACAGGAUUAGAUACCCCUGUAAAG